AAAAUUCUCAUCUCCGCGGCGAGUUGCAAGCCUCUCUCAAUCAUCUUCCUUCUCUGUUUCCUCUACACAUCUCAAAUUUCGUACGAAUAAUCGCUGACAAUUUAUCGGAGAAAUUUCUGCUCUUGAAUCUUGAUCAUAUCACAUUUGUUGGAUGAAUAUUUUAGAUGACGAGUUAUAAGAGAAAUUGAUGCUCUGGAACCAUAGAUCUUUCUUGAGCUUCAGAUUAUGUCAGAUUUUUUAUACCCAACCCUAUCCGUGCGAUUCUUUCUCGUGAACUCGAGUUGUACUAUUCUUAUUAUUCUUUUACAACAAAGAAUGGAAGAUACAAAUGGUGCCAUGAUUAAACUCGCUGCUUACAACUAUACACUUUGGAAACCAAGGAUGGAGGAUCUUCUUUAUCAUAAAGAUUAUUAUGAUCCUAUAUAACACAAAGGUAUAAACGCCGAUCCUACUAAGGAUGCGGAAUGGAAGAAGACGAAUAGAAAAAGAAUUGGUUUAAUUAGACAAUGGAUUGAUCAUAGUGUCUUUCAUCAUGUGUCUCAAGAAGUUGAUGCUUAUGCUCUUUGAAAGAAGCCGAAAGAUAUGUAUCAAUCAAAGAUAGCACGUAAUAAGGCCCUCCUAGCGUGAAAGUUGGUGAGUAUGAAAUUGCGAAGUGGAAUGUCGGUGGCUGAGCACACCAGUGAAUUUCAAAAUGUAGUAAACCAAAUGUUUGUAGUGGAACUAAAUCUUGAUGAUGAGAUGCAAGCUCUCUUACUGCUUAGUUCUCUUCUUGAUAAUUGAGACACUGUAGUAGUCACUUGCAAUAAUUAAACUUCUGGUGGAAAACUCACUAUGUCUAUAGUGAAGGACGCCUUGUUCAAUGAGGAAGUUAGGCGAAAAGAAAAUGUCGUAAACAACGAGGAAGUCUUUGUCACAAAAGGUAGGGGGAUACAGCGAAGGGAAAAUCAAGGCAGAUGGAGAGGAAGGAGCAAAAGUAGGGGUAAGUUAAUAAGGGGCAGGUCAGUAGAAGGGUGGAAACCAAGGUGCUAGCAAUAUGGGAUGAAAGGUCAUUUCAAGAGAAAUUGUAGAAGGUUACGAAGGGAGCAAGACCCAGAAAGCUCCCUAGCAAAGAGGGAUGGGGAGACACAAGUCACAGUCCUUGAAGAGUUGUUGCAUACACUGUUCAAGAAGAGUUAUGCCUUGUAGAGUCGAGUGGAAAAGUUGAACGGACAACUGAUACUGCAGACAUUUGGCCUUGUGAAGAUGGGAAAUACCAGUGUUGCUAAGAUUGUGGGUCUUGGCAAUAUCCAAAUAGUAAUAGAUGUUGGGUGUAAACUUUGAAAGAUGUAUGACACCUGCAGGAUCUUCGAUUGAAUCUACUUUCGAUACGAACACUUGAUCAACGGGGUUUUGAAAACCGCUUCCACAAUGGCACGCGGGGUUUUGAUCUAAUUUCCGAUUAACAAAGCAUCUUGUGAAGAUUUUGGCAUCAGUAAUAGCCAUUAUAGUGUUAUGAAUUUAAGUGUUUAGGUUAAACUGUCAUAACUAAUAACCAUCGUUAAUGUUUUCUUUCUUUAGGAAUUAAUAUCAUUCUGAAUAUGACGUAAACAUCUGUUUUGAAUUGAUUCAUUUGAUGCGCAGCGAAUUCUGUCUUCUUGGUUUCCUUGAUCUUGUGACAUAGAUUUAGUUGGUACGUCUGUAUACUUCCAAGUGAUGCUGGAAAAUUGCGCAAGGGUUUUGAGUUGCAAUGAAAUAAAUUUCACGGAGAUUCCACCUGAUGGAAGUGACAAAUAGUUUUUAAUUCAAUUAAGUAGACAUGUAGGAUUUGGUAUCCUCAUGAAUGUGAUUACAUUUGAUUAUUUAUUUUGACCCUUGCCUGGUUGGAGGUAUGAAAUGAUGAACUGUUGUAUGUACUUGCGUUUUUAGCUGUGAUUGCUUAAGUUUUAACUUCGAAGGCCAUAGCAGAAUUUAGAAUACAUUUGAUGUGGGAAUGCUUUAUGUAAUAAAUUGAAUUCCUUCAUUUGAUGUGCAGCGAAUUUUUUCUUCUUGGUUUCCUUGAUCUUGUGACAUAGAUUUAGUUGGUAUGUCUGUAUACUUCCAAGUGAUGCUGGAAAAUUGCGCAAGGGUUUUGCGUUGCAAUGAAAUAAAUUUCAUGGAGAUUCCACCUGAUGGAAGUGACAAAUAGUUUUUAAUUCAAUGAAGUAGACAUGUAGGAUUUGGUACCCUCAUGAAUGUGAUUACAUUUGAUUAUUUAUUUUGACCCUUGCCUGGUUGGAGGUAUGAAAUGAUGAAAUGUUGUAUGUACUUGCGUUUUUAGCUGUGAUUGCUUAAGUUUUAACUUCGAAGGCCAUAGCAGAAUUUUGAAUACAUUUGAUGUGGGAAUGCUUUAUGUAAUAAAUUGAAUUCCUUCAUUUGAUGUGCAGCGAAUUUUUUCUUCUUGGUUUCCUUGAUCUUGUGACAUAGAUUUAGUUGGUACGUCUGUAUACUUCCAAGUGAUGCUGGAAAAUUGCGCAAGGGUUUUGAGUUGCAAUGAAAUAAAUUUCACGGAGAUUCCACCUGAUGGAAGUGACAAAUAGUUUUUAAUUCAAUUAAGUAGACAUGUAGGAUUUGGUAUCCUCAUGAAUGUGAUUACAUUUGAUUAUUUAUUUUGACCCUUGCCUGGUUGGAGGUAUGAAAUGAUGAAAUGUUGUAUGUACUUGCGUUUCUAGCUGUGAUUGCUUAAGUUUUAACUUCGAAGGCCAUAGCAGAAUUUAGAAUACAUUUGAUGUGGGAAUGCUUUAUGUAAUAAAUUGAAUUCCUUCAUUUGAUGUGCAGCGAAUUUUUUCUUCUUGGUUUCCUUGAUCUUGUGACAUAGAUUUAGUUGGUACGUCUGUAUACUUCCAAGUGAUGCUGGAAAAUUGCGCAAGGGUUUUGAGUUGCAAUGAAAUAAAUUUCACGGAGAUUCCACCUGAUGGAAGUGACAAAUAGUUUUUAAUCAAUUAAGUAGACAUGUAGGAUUUGGUAUCCUCAUGAAUGUGAUUACAUUUGAUUAUUUAUUUUGACCCUUGCCUGGUUGGAGGUAUGAAAUGAUGAAAUGUUGUAUGUACUUGCGUUUUUAGCUGUGAUUGCUUAAGUUUUAACUUCGAAGGCCAUAGCAGAAUUUAGAAUACAUUUGAUGUGGGAAUGCUUUAUGUAAUAAAUUGAAUUCCUUCAUUUGAUGUGCAGCGAAUUUUUUCUUCUUGGUUUCAUUGAUCUUGUGACAUAGAUUUAGUUGAUAUGUCUGUAUACUUCCAAGUGAUGCUGGAAAAUUGCGCAAGGGUUUUGAGUUGCAAUGAAAUAAAUUUCAUGGAGAUUCCACCUGAUGGAAGUGACAAAUAAUUUUUAAUUCAAUUAAGUAGACAUGUAGGAUUUGGUAUCCUCAUGAAUGUGAUUACAUUUGAUUAUUUAUUUUGACCCUUGCCUGGUUGGAGGUAUGAAAUGAUGAAAUGUUGUAUGUACUUGCGUUUUUAGCUGUGAUUGCUUAAGUUUUAACUUCGAAGGCCAUAGCAGAAUUUUGAAUACAUUUGAUGUGGGAAUGCUUUAUGUAAUAAAUUGAAUUCCUUCAUUUGAUGUGCAUCGAAUUUUUUCUUCAUGGUUUCCUUGAUCGUGUGACAUAGAUUUGGUUGGUACGUCUGUAUACUUCCAAGUGAUGCUGGAAAAUUGCGCAAGGGUUUUGAGUUGCAAUGAAAUAAAUUUCACGGAGAUUCCACCUGAUGGAAGUGACAAAUAGUUUUUAAUUCAAUUAAGUAGACAUGUAGGAUUUGGUAUCCUCAUGAAUGUGAUUACAUUUGAUUAUUUAUUUUGACCCUUGCCUGGUUGGAGGUAUGAAAUGAUGAAAUGUUGUAUGUACUUGCGUUUUUAGCUGUGAUUGCUUAAGUUUUAACUUCGAAGGCCAUAGCAGAAUUUUGAAUACAUUUGAUGUGGGAAUUCUUUAUGUAAUAAAUUGAAUUUCUUCAUUAUUUUUCAGCGAAUUUUUUCUUCUUGGUUUCCUUGAUCUUGUGACAUAGAUUUAGUUGGUAUGUCUGUAUACUUCCAAGUGAUGCUGGAAAAUUGCGCAAGGGUUUUGAGUUGCAAUGAAAUAAAUUUCAUGGAGAUUCCACCUGAUGGAAGUGACAAAUAAUUUUUAAUUCAAUUAAGUAGACAUGUAGGAUUUGGUAUUCUCAUGAAUGUGAUUACAUUUGAUUAUUUAUUUUGACCCUUGCCUGGUUGGAGAUAUGAAAUGAUGAAAUGUUGUAUGUACUUGCGUUUUUAGCUGUGAUUGUGUAAGUUUUAUCUUCGAAGGCCAUAAAAACAUUUUGAAUACAUUUGAUGUGUUAAUGCUUUAUGUAAUGAACUGAAUUCCUUCAUCCAAUUCAUUGAUUUUGUCUUGGAUCUUCUGAUAUUUGUUUUCUAUUUAUGCCUGGAUUGUUUAGUCUUGAUCUUCAGGAAUUCUUUAUUUGAUCUAGUUUCAGAUUAAUAAAUGAAGCAUGUUGUGAAGGUUUUGGCAUUGGUAGUAGCCAGUACGGUGUUAUGGAUUGGCCUUUUACAAACUUCGGUAAUUUCACAUAGCUACACUUGGAUGCUACCUAUAUAUUUUGUUGUGUCUUUAGGAUGUUACGGUCUAUUAAUGGUUGGAGUUGGUUUGAUGAAUUUCCCAACCUGUCCUCAAGAAGCUCUAUUGUUGCAGAAGCCUAUCUUUCAUGAUACCAAAUUCUUUAAAUGUUGCCAUCGGGCCUGUGGCCCUAUUCACAACCAAUCUAUUCAAGUAUGUGAUGAUGUGUGGAAUGGAGCGUGUAUGUUGGAUCAGCUAAAGCCAACAUUUGCUUCUACAUAGCAGCACUUUUAAUUGGGCCUGAGCCCAAUUAUCCCAUACCUCACGCGUCCAAUUCCUUCACAACAGCCAACAAUUUCCUUUGUUCAGCAUCCACCAAGCCCACACAUCACGGAAGCCUCUGCCAGGGUUUUCUUCACCACGCGUGGAACACCAGCCGCUAGGGUUCAACGUGUCCUUGUUUUGCUUGAUCCCUCCUUGUCUCCUUUCACGUGUUCCUUCCAUCACGAUAGCACCGUUAGGUUUCAACGUUGCUGCCCCAACCCAUUUUCCCGUUAGGACUUGUACACGGCCUCGCUGCCAUUAGAUCAUUUCCUUCCCUCCAUUCUUUUCUGGUUGCCUUUCUUCUAUAAAAGGUUAACCUUUGUUUGUAAUCAACAGCAUUUGAUGAAUGAUAAAUUUAGUAGAGAUCACUGCCACCGUUCGUCUUAGCUCCCCUUUCCCUUUAGACGAGGAUUUCCCCUCCUAGGGUUACCAAACCAGUAAGAUACGAGAGCAAUCU
This is a long non-coding RNA of Vigna unguiculata (cowpea), 5309 nucleotides long. The record is from RefSeq and is a predicted model, not a curated record. NCBI's taxonomy places the organism in Eukaryota, Viridiplantae, Streptophyta, Magnoliopsida, Fabales, Fabaceae.